Long non-coding RNA from Cornus florida, 506 nucleotides. RefSeq lists it as uncharacterized. The record is from RefSeq and is a predicted model, not a curated record. Lineage: Eukaryota; Viridiplantae; Streptophyta; Magnoliopsida; Cornales; Cornaceae. The transcript has 2 exons.
GAAGGUUUUUUUUGAAGAAAUUUUGCUUUUAAGAUGUUGAUUUGAUGAUUCAAAUUAUGUCUGGAUUUGUUCCCGAGUUAGAUUUUGAGAUUUUUUUUCUUUCAAUUAGCGAAUCUGAUUUCAUCUCAUUGUUGAGCUGAAUGAAACAUAGGAUUCAUGUAGCCGACCGUAGUUGGGAAAAGGCUUGGUGGCGGUGGUGGUUGUUUGUUGAUUUCAUCUCAUUGUUCUUUGACCAAAUGUGAUUGAUAUGGUGGUAGAAAUGCUGUCAAAUCUCGUGUUAGUUCAUUUUUUCAUUUCAUGGCCGAAAAGUGGGAAGGAGAGAAAUUUGGAAAUGAAGACUAUUUGACAUUGAAAAUGUUGGGUAUGAAAUUCUAUAUUUUCACACUUUCUUCAAUUUCUUAGCGAUCAGGUGAAUAAUCAGGCUCUCUUUGGUUCGUUAAUUUAGUAAGAGAGAAGAAGAAAAGGAAAACAAUUUCCUCUUCUUUUUUUUUUUUGUUUUUUUUUUU